UGCCAGCCGCCGCGGUAAUACGGGGGAUGCAAGCGUUAUCCGGAAUCAUUGGGCGUAAAGCGCCUGUAGGUUGUUUAAUAAGUCAGAGGUGAAAUCCCAGGGCUCAACCCUGGAACUGCCUUUAAAACUGUUAGUCUUGAGAUCGAGAGAGGUGAGUGGAAUUCCAAGUGUAGAGGUGAAAUUCGUAGAUAUUUGGAGGAACACCAGUGGCGAAGGCGGCUCACUGGCUCGAUACUGACGCUGAGGUACGAAAGUGUGGGGAGCAAACAGGAUUAGAUA
RNAcentral lists this ribosomal RNA (279 nucleotides) under uncultured bacterium. Its description in RNAcentral is "partial 16S ribosomal RNA". It matches the Rfam family "Bacterial small subunit ribosomal RNA", at positions 506 to 784 of the family's 1533-position model. The record is from RNAcentral.